Schistosoma rodhaini is the source of this 45-nucleotide non-coding RNA. The record is from Rfam. NCBI's taxonomy places the organism in Eukaryota, Metazoa, Platyhelminthes, Trematoda, Strigeidida, Schistosomatidae.
AUCCAGCUGACGAGUCCCAAAUAUUACGAAACGCUUGUUCUGGAU